GCCUCAGUAGCUCAGUUGGUAGAGCGCGUGCUUGGUAAGCACGAGGUCCCGGGUUCAAUUCCCGGCUGAGGCUC
Molecule: transfer RNA, 74 nt
Filed under: uncultured archaeon
Lineage: Archaea
Description: tRNA-Thr(ggt)
Rfam family: tRNA
About the family: Transfer RNA (tRNA) molecules are approximately 80 nucleotides in length.
Source: RNAcentral